GCCGGCCUGAGAGGGCGACCGGCCACACUGGGACUGAGACACGGCCCAGACUCCUACGGGAGGCACCGGUGGGGAAUAUUGGGCAAUGGAGGAAACUCUGACCCAGCGACGCCGCGUGCGGGAUGAAGGCCUUCGGGUUGUAAACCGCUUUCAGUAGGGAAGAAGCGAAAGUGACGGUACCUACAAAAGAAGCACCGGCUAACUAUGUGCCAGCAGCCGCGGUAAUACAUAGGGUGCAAGCGUUGUCCGGAAUUAUUGGGCGUAAAGAGCUCGUAGGUCGUUUGUUACGUCGGAUGUGAAAUCCUGAGGCUCAACCUCAGGCCUGCAUUCGAUACGGGCAAACUAGAGUUUGGUAGGGGAGACUGGAAUUCCU
This 373-nucleotide ribosomal RNA is filed under the name uncultured Actinomycetes bacterium. RNAcentral's name for it is "bacterial SSU rRNA". It matches the Rfam family "Bacterial small subunit ribosomal RNA", at positions 286 to 671 of the family's 1533-position model. Lineage: Bacteria; Bacillati; Actinomycetota; Actinomycetes. The record is from RNAcentral.